AAACCCGUGAGGGAAUGUCUGAAGAAAGCCCGAGCGCAAAGGUGUGAGCCGACGGACAGACAAAAUCGCCGGGAGCGAUUUUGAACAGCCGCAGGC
Molecule: non-coding RNA, 96 nt
Organism: Thiorhodospira sibirica ATCC 700588
Lineage: Bacteria; Pseudomonadati; Pseudomonadota; Gammaproteobacteria; Chromatiales; Ectothiorhodospiraceae
Source: Rfam